Molecule: ribosomal RNA, 237 nt
Filed under: uncultured bacterium
Lineage: Bacteria
Description: partial 16S ribosomal RNA
Rfam family: Bacterial small subunit ribosomal RNA
Source: RNAcentral
UACGUAGGGUCCGAGCGUUGUCCGGAGUUACUGGGCGUAAAGGGCGCGUAGGCGGUUCCAUGCGUCCCACGUGAAAGCCCCUGGCUCAACCAGGGAGGGUCGUGGGAAACGGGGGAACUGGAGGCAGAGAGAGGCUGGUGGAAUUCCCGGAGUAGUGGUGAAAUGCGUAGAUAUCGGGAGGAACACCGGUGGCGAAGGCGGCCAGCUGGCUCUGACCUGACGCUGAGGCGGCGAAGG